Non-coding RNA from Peromyscus maniculatus bairdii (prairie deer mouse), 1193 nucleotides. The record is from RefSeq and is a predicted model, not a curated record. Lineage: Eukaryota; Metazoa; Chordata; Mammalia; Rodentia; Cricetidae.
AUUAGCAGGGAAGCAAUGUCAGUUCCCAUGACAUAUGCAGCUCUUCCCUGGACAUUCUAUUAUAUCCUGGGGAAUCCUGGUAUCUUCUGUGAUGUCACUAUGUUGUGGCAACACCACCUCCCCUUGGGAAGCUUAUUCAAUGUCUUCACCAUUUACUGAUGAACAUGAUGACAUACAGAAGAGUCUAAUUCAGAAAGAGAUGGAGAGUGUAGAGAGACCAGAGAGUGACAGAAGAAAGCUGGCCUUCAGCCUCAAUGUAAAACAUCAACGAAAAAAUGGUCAAGAGAAUGGUGUCAUGACUUCAGUGCAGGAAAAGGGAAUCUUCCUGGAGGAAGUGGACUUGAGCUGAAUCUUCCAGUAAUGGGGCCCAGAAAGCUGGAGUCUCUGGGAACCAACAGAACUUCCUGCUUGUCAUGGCUCUUGAAAUUCAAGGAUUCCAGGAUAUUAAUUGUUCUGGCUCCAAAGUCAGCAACUGAAUACAUUGACCUAUGAUGAUGUGCAUAUCAACUUCACUUGGGAAGAGUGGACUUUGCUGGAUCCUUUUCAGAAGAAUCUCUACAAAGAUGUGAUGAUUGAGAUCUACAGAAACCUCACUAUUAUAGGAUACAGCUGGGAAAAUCAUAAUAUUGAAGCACAUUUUCAAAAUUCUAGAAGACAUGUAAGGGAUGAAAGAAGUCAAACUGGAGAGAAGAAACCUUUCAUAUAUACUAAAUGUCGUAAAACCAUUGUAUAUGAGGGUCAUCUUCAAAGUCAUGAAAGUGCAUCUAUGGGACAGAAAUGCUUUCAAUUUAAUUUAGUGUGUUAAAGCCUUUGCCAAACACAGUACUCUUCAAAUACAUAAAAGAGCCCAUACUGGAGAUAAAUCCUAUGAAUUAAUCAAUGUGGUAAAGCCUUUGCAUAUCACCAAACUCUUCAAAUGCAUGAAAGAACACAUACUGGACAUAAACCCUAUGAAUGUAAUCAAUGUAGUAAAGCCUUUUUAUAUCACAAACAACUUCAAAUACAUAAAAGAAGUCAUACUGGAGAGAAACCCUAUGAAUGUAAUCAGUGUGGUAAAGCCUUUGGACAAUAUGCUCAUUUUCAAAGUCAUAAAAGAACACAUACAUGAGAGAAAUCCUAUGAAUGUAAGGAAUGUGGUAAAGCCUUUGCAUGAUUUAGUCAUCGUCAAAGGCAUAAAAGAACACAUACUGGAG